UGCCAGCAGCCGCGGUAAUACGGAGAGGGCAAGCGUUGUUCGGAAUCACUGGGCAUAAAGCGCACGUAGGCUGAUUGGAAAGUCAGUUGUGAAAGCCCGGGGCUCAACCCCGGAAUUGCUUCUGAAACUUCCAGUCUUGAGGGUGAGAGGGGAGAGUGGAACUUCUGGUGGAGCGGUGAAAUGCGUAGAGAUCAGAAGGAACACCGGUGGCGAAAGCGACUCUCUGGCUCAUUUCUGACGCUGAGGUGCGAAAGCGUGGGGAGCAAACAGGAUUAGAUA
This 279-nucleotide ribosomal RNA is filed under the name uncultured bacterium. RNAcentral describes it as "partial 16S ribosomal RNA". It matches the Rfam family "Bacterial small subunit ribosomal RNA", at positions 506 to 784 of the family's 1533-position model. The record is from RNAcentral.